This 406-nucleotide ribosomal RNA is filed under the name uncultured bacterium. RNAcentral describes it as "partial 16S ribosomal RNA". It matches the Rfam family "Bacterial small subunit ribosomal RNA", at positions 30 to 526 of the family's 1533-position model. The record is from RNAcentral.
AUUGAACGCUGGCGGCAGGCUUAACACAUGCAAGUCGAGCGAGCGGCGGACGGGAGAGUUAUGUCUGGGAAACUGACUGAGGGAGGGGGACCACUACUGGAAACGAUAGCUAAUACCGCACUCCUUCAGCUGUGCCGCGGUGGGAUUAGCUAGUAGGUGGGGUAAUGGCUCACCUAGGCGACGAUCCCUAGCUGGUCUGAGAGGAGGAACAGCCACACUGGAACUGAGACACGGUCCAGACUCCUACGGGAGGCAGCAGUGGGGAAUAUUGCACAAUGGGCGAAAGCCUGAUGCAGCCAUGCCGCGUGUAUGAAGAAGGCCUUCGGGUUGUAAAGUACUUUCAGCGGGGAGGCGUUACCCGCAGAAGAAGCACCGGCUAACUCCGUGCCAGCAGCCGCGGUAAUAC